This 467-nucleotide ribosomal RNA is filed under the name uncultured bacterium. RNAcentral describes it as "partial 16S ribosomal RNA". It matches the Rfam family "Bacterial small subunit ribosomal RNA", at positions 28 to 507 of the family's 1533-position model. The record is from RNAcentral.
GACGAACGCUGGCGGCGUGCUUAACACAUGCAAGUCGAACGGAAAGGCCCUGCUUUUGUGGGGUGCUCGAGUGGCGAACGGGUGAGUAACACGUGAGUAACCUGCCCUUGACUUUGGGAUAACUUCAGGAAACUGGGGCUAAUACCGGAUAGGAGCUCCUGCUGCAUGGUGGGGGUUGGAAAUUUCGGCGGUUGGGGAUGGACUCGCGGCUUAUCAGCUUGUUGGUGGGGUAGUGGCUUACCAAGGCUUUGACGGGUAGCCGGCCUGAGAGGGUGACCGGCCACAUUGGGACUGAGAUACGGCCCAGACUCCUACGGGAGGCAGCAGUGGGGAAUAUUGCACAAUGGGCGGAAGCCUGAUGCAGCAACGCCGCGUGCGGGAUGACGGCCUUCGGGUUGUAAACCGCUUUCGCCUGUGACGAAGCGUGAGUGACGGUAAUGGGUAAAGAAGCACCGGCUAACUACGUG